CCUACGGGUGGCUGCAGUGAGGAAUAUUGGUCAAUGGACGAGAGUCUGAACCAGCCAAGUAGCGUGAAGGAUGACUGCCCUAUGGGUUGUAAACUUCUUUUAUAAAGGAAUAAAACGAGGCACGUGUGCCUUUUUGUAUGUACUUUAUGAAUAAGGAUCGGCUAACUCCGUGCCAGCAGCCGCGGUAAUACGGAGGAUCCGAGCGUUAUCCGGAUUUAUUGGGUUUAAAGGGAGCGUAGAUGGGUUGUUAAGUCAGUUGUGAAAGUUUGCGGCUCAACCGUAAAAUUGCAAUUGAUACUGGCAGUCUUGAGUACAGUUGAGGUAGGCGGAAUUCGUGGUGUAGCGGUGAAAUGCUUAGAUAUCACGAAGAACCCCGAUUGCGAAGGCAGCUUACUAAACUGUGACUGACAUUGAUGCUCGAAAGUGUGGGUAUCAAACAGGAUUAGAUACCCCAGUAGUC
RNAcentral lists this ribosomal RNA (460 nucleotides) under uncultured bacterium. RNAcentral's name for it is "partial 16S ribosomal RNA". It matches the Rfam family "Bacterial small subunit ribosomal RNA", at positions 338 to 795 of the family's 1533-position model. The record is from RNAcentral.